CAAGGAAUAUUGGGCAAUGGGCGAAAGCCUGACCCAGCGACACCGCGUGGGGGAUGAAGGUUCUCGGAUCGUAAACCCCUUUUCUCAGGGAAGAUAAUGACGGUACCUGAGGAAUAAGUCUCGGCCAACUACGUGCCAGCAGCCGCGGUAAUACGUAGGAGGCGAACGUUAUCCGGAUUUACUGGGCGUAAAGAGAGCGUAGGCGGUUUCCCAAGUCGGGUGCGAAAUCUCUUGACUCAAUCAGGAGGGGCUAUCCGAUACUGGGUCACUCGAGGGCGGCAGAAGGAAACGGAAUUCCGAGUGUAGCGGUGAAAUGCGUUGAUAUUCGGAGGAACACCAGUGGCGAAGGCGGUUUCCUAGGCUGUUCCUGACGCUGAGGCUCGAAAGCGUGGGGAGCGAAGCG
RNAcentral lists this ribosomal RNA (403 nucleotides) under uncultured bacterium. RNAcentral describes it as "bacterial SSU rRNA". It matches the Rfam family "Bacterial small subunit ribosomal RNA", at positions 355 to 775 of the family's 1533-position model. The record is from RNAcentral.